This is a long non-coding RNA of Bombus pascuorum, 751 nucleotides long. RefSeq lists it as uncharacterized. Lineage: Eukaryota; Metazoa; Arthropoda; Insecta; Hymenoptera; Apidae. The record is from RefSeq and is a predicted model, not a curated record. The transcript has 2 exons.
GUUUAAAAAGGAUCGCUUCCCGCACAACCAACCGCAGUUGGCCGCUGAAGACGAUCAAAAAACCGCAAAAACUUGAUCCCGCGGGAGGACUCCGUUUACCCAGACAAAUCGUUCGAAAUGGAAUCAUGGGCAAACGAUACCACGCAGGAUGUCACCGUCGCACUAGAUAACCAGCGUCGAGCGGUGGGGAAGGAGGCAAAGUGAACAAAUGGAGAAAAGGAUGCAACAGUCGAGUGCACACUCUGUUCGGGGUAAGGUCUCGCGGUGAGCUACGGAUAUUCGAGAUGGUUAGAGAAUAAAGAACCGACCAAAGGAAAAAAAUAGGUUAGAUGUAACAUGUAUGAGCUGCAAUCAGGAUGCAAUCUGAUUUUGCCAUCAACGGAGUGAAGCAAUUGAAUUGAAAUCAUGUAAGGAUAUGUUGGAAAAGAUGAAAGUAAAAUGUGAAAAGGUGGUACAUGAGACAAAAUAAACAAGUUUAGUUGUACUAUGUUAUAACUUAUAAUGUAACAUACAUAUAGACUGCAAUCUGCACUUGCAAUUUGUUUGAAUUGGAACCAUAUACAUACUGACAUUCAUUUUUCAUUCUUUAUUAGUUUCGUUUAUAUUGUCUACAGUCUACAUUUUAGGAAGAGGAUUGACAUGGCAAUUUUGAUGAUAUGUAGAUGUACAGUACACAUAUUAUAUACUAUAUCAUAACAUAAAUUUGUUGUAUGGAGGUUAUCUAUGAAUAAAUUAUGAACGUUCAGGCAAA